UACGUAGGGUGCAAGCGUUGUCCGGAAUUAUUGGGCGUAAAGAGCUCGUAGGCGGUUUGUUGCGUCGGCUGUGAAAUCCCGAGGCUCAACCUCGGGUCUGCAGUCGAUACGAGCAAACUAGAGUGUUGCAGGGGAGACUGGAAUUCCUGGUGUAGCGGUGAAAUGCGCAGAUAUCAGGAGGAACACCGGUGGCGAAGGCGGGUCUCUGGACAGUUCCUGACGCUGAGGCACGAAAGCCAGGGGAGCAAACGGG
RNAcentral lists this ribosomal RNA (253 nucleotides) under uncultured bacterium. Its description in RNAcentral is "partial 16S ribosomal RNA". It matches the Rfam family "Bacterial small subunit ribosomal RNA", at positions 524 to 776 of the family's 1533-position model. The record is from RNAcentral.